RNAcentral lists this transfer RNA (69 nucleotides) under Penaeus japonicus. Its description in RNAcentral is "tRNA-Ser". The record is from RNAcentral. Lineage: Eukaryota; Metazoa; Arthropoda; Malacostraca; Decapoda; Penaeidae.
GGGAACAGGUAGAUCAAGAAGAAGCUGCUAACUUCUCCCUUAAGCGGUUAAACUCCGUUUAUGUUCCUG